Molecule: ribosomal RNA, 164 nt
Filed under: uncultured rumen bacterium
Lineage: Bacteria
Description: partial 16S ribosomal RNA
Rfam family: Bacterial small subunit ribosomal RNA
Source: RNAcentral
AGGCAGCAGUCGGGAAUAUUGCGCAAUGGAGGAAACUCUGACGCAGUGACGCCGCGUGCAGGAUGAAGGUUUUCGGAUUGUAAACUGCUUUAGAUAGGGAAGAAAAAAAUGACGGUACCUAUAGAAUAAGCUCCGGCUAACUACGUGCCAGCAGCCGCGGUAAU